CAAAUGACUCUCGGCAACGGAUAUCUCGSUCACGCAUCGAUGAAGAACGUAGCAAAAUGCGAUACUUGGUGUGAAUUGCAGAAUCCCGUGAACCAUCGAGUUUUUGAACGCAAGUUGCGCCCGAAGCCAUUCGGCCGAGGGCACGUCUGCCUGGGCGUCACGC
This 163-nucleotide ribosomal RNA is filed under the name Geigeria ornativa. RNAcentral's name for it is "5.8S ribosomal RNA". It matches the Rfam family "5.8S ribosomal RNA". Rfam says of the family: 5.8S ribosomal RNA (5.8S rRNA) is a component of the large subunit of the eukaryotic ribosome. It is transcribed by RNA polymerase I as part of the 45S precursor that also contains 18S and 28S rRNA. Lineage: Eukaryota; Viridiplantae; Streptophyta; Magnoliopsida; Asterales; Asteraceae. The record is from RNAcentral.